Molecule: ribosomal RNA, 305 nt
Filed under: uncultured bacterium
Lineage: Bacteria
Description: partial 16S ribosomal RNA
Rfam family: Bacterial small subunit ribosomal RNA
Source: RNAcentral
CCUACGGGGGGCAGCAGUGGGGAAUAUUGCACAAUGGGGGAAACCCUGAUGCAGCGACGCCGCGUGAGUGAAGAAGUAUCUCGGUACGUAAAGCUCUAUCAGCAGGGAAGAAAAAAAGUCUUUGGCUUUGGACGGUACCUGACUAAGAAGCCCCGGCUAACUACGUGCCAGCAGCCGCGGUAAUACGUAGGGGGCAAGCGUUAUCCGGAAUUACUGGGUGUAAAGGGAGCGUAGACGGCUGUGCAAGUCUGGAGUGAAAGGCGGGGGCCCAACCCCCGGACUGCUCUGGAAACUGUAUGGCUGGG